RNAcentral lists this ribosomal RNA (329 nucleotides) under uncultured Oscillibacter sp. RNAcentral's name for it is "bacterial SSU rRNA". It matches the Rfam family "Bacterial small subunit ribosomal RNA", at positions 355 to 699 of the family's 1533-position model. Lineage: Bacteria; Bacillati; Bacillota; Clostridia; Eubacteriales; Oscillospiraceae. The record is from RNAcentral.
UGGGGAAUAUUGGGCAAUGGGCGCAAGCCUGACCCAGCAACGCCGCGUGAAGGAAGAAGGCUUUCGGGUUGUAAACUUCUUUUGUCAGGGAAGAGGAGAAGACUGUACCUGGCGAAUAAGCCACGGCUAACUACGUGCCAGCAGCCGCGGUAAUACGUAGGUGGCAAGCGUUGUCCGGAUUUACUGGGUGUAAAGGGCGUGUAGCCGGGUCGGUAAGUCAGAUGUGAAAUCUACGGGCUCAACUCGUAAACUGCAUUUGAAACUGCUGAUCUUGAGUAUCGGAGAGGCAAUCGGAAUUCCUAGUGUAGCGGUGAAAUGCGUAGAUAUUA